Molecule: unclassified non-coding RNA, 374 nt
Filed under: uncultured Bacteroidota bacterium
Lineage: Bacteria; Pseudomonadati; Bacteroidota
Description: uncultured Bacteroidetes bacterium contains 16S-23S intergenic spacer region
Source: RNAcentral
UCACUACUUGCGUAGGCAGUCCGGCUAGAGUCCCCACCACUACGUGCUGGUAACUAACCGCAGGGGUUGCGCUCGUUGCGCCACUUAAGGCAACACCUCACGGCACGAGCUGACGACAGCCAUGCAGCACCUUCGCGGGCGCCCCGAAGGGAAGCCCCGUUUCCGGGACCGUCGCCCGCGAUUUAGCCUGGGUAAGGUUCUUCGCGUUGCAUCGAAUUAAGCCACAUGCUCCACCGCUUGUGCGGGCCCCCGUCAAUUCCUUUGAGUUUCAUUCUUGCGAACGUACUCCCCAGGUGGUAUGCUUAGCGCGUUAGCUGCGGCACCGGCCCCACAGGGGCCGACACCUAGCAUACAUCGUUUACGGCGUGGACUAC